AAGUAAUUUAGGAUUUAGUAUUAAAGAUAUGUGCUAUGGGUCAAUUGCUACAUUCACCCGUUCGACGUGUUCCAUCUUUAGCUAAUAUUUCAAAAAAAUAACCCAAUAAACCUGUUGAUAGGUAAAUGGAUCAAAAUUGCCACCUCUAUCUUGUGUUACAUUCCCAUUCAUCACAUUAAGUUCAAAUUUUCUUGACCCAGGUGAUGCGUGUGAAAGCUAUUGAUGCGUGUGAAAGCUAUUGGAAUUGCUUUGAAGCUUACUUUACCGUAAUUGUUUUGCUAUGUAUCAUCACUCAAUUAUUAAAAUAAGGAUUGGGAUGGGUAAAAUCCUCCUCAGAUUAUAACAAAACUAUGUGGCUUUGUGACAAUCCUUUUUGGAACAUUCAUACACAAAACCAAAGACAUGGUUGAUGAGAUUGUUCUACAUAGAAGAAAAAACGAGGACCGGGAAUUAGAAGAAAUGAGCAGUUGGAACAACGUUUCAAGAAAUCGAAAAGUGAUAAUUUCGUUAUCACGAUGUCCAGGCAGUGUGAUCGAGUAAUUUUGCCUUUUAAUAUUGUUCUUUUUUUUUCUGAUCAACGGCCUACUUCUUGGUAAUAAUAAGGUUUAUAC
Long non-coding RNA from Helianthus annuus (common sunflower), 611 nucleotides. RefSeq lists it as uncharacterized. NCBI's taxonomy places the organism in Eukaryota, Viridiplantae, Streptophyta, Magnoliopsida, Asterales, Asteraceae. The transcript has 3 exons. The record is from RefSeq and is a predicted model, not a curated record.